This 433-nucleotide ribosomal RNA is filed under the name uncultured bacterium. RNAcentral describes it as "partial 16S ribosomal RNA". It matches the Rfam family "Bacterial small subunit ribosomal RNA", at positions 355 to 779 of the family's 1533-position model. The record is from RNAcentral.
UGGGGAAUUUUGGACAAUGGGGGCAACCCUGAUCCAGCAAUGCCGCGUGUGUGAAGAAGGCCUUCGGGUUGUAAAGCACUUUUGUCCGGAAAGAAAACGCCGUGGUUAAUACCCGUGGCGGAUGACGGUACCGGAAGAAUAAGCACCGGCUAACUACGUGCCAGCAGCCGUGGUAAUACGUAGGGUGCAAGCGUUAAUCGGAAUUACUGGGCGUAAAGCGUGCGCAGGCGGUCCGCUAAGACAGAUGUGAAAUCCCCGGGCUUAACCUGGGAACUGCAUUUGUGACUGGCGGGCUAGAGUAUGGCAGAGGGGGGUAGAAUUCCACGUGUAGCAGUGAAAUGCGUAGAGAUGUGGAGGAAUACCGAUGGCGAAGGCAGCCCCCUGGGCCAAUACUGACGCUCAUGCACGAAAGCGUGGGGGAGCAAACAGGAUU